UAAUUUUUUUGUAAUUUUUGUAGAGACGGGGUUUCACUGUGUUGCCCAGACUGGUCUCGAGCUCCUGAGCUCAAGCGAUCCACCCGCCCAUGCCUCCCAAAGUGCUGGGAUUACAGGCGUGAGCCACUGCACCCAGCCCUCUUAGCCAUUUUGUUAACCUCAUUUCCCACCUCUGGAGGUGGUAGGGGCUUCCCAAGAAGAUCACUUGGACCUCUUCAAGUAUGGUGGCAAUAUUGCUGGGCUGUUGGAGAGACUUUUGUUAUAGAGGCUCCCCUCUUGUGUUUUUCCUCAAAGGCAAGGAGUCAUUUUUGGUCACAUGAGGUCAAAGAGACCAGACCAGUAGUGCAUUCUGUUUUGCAUGGGAAUUGUCAAGGCUCUUUCAGUUUUAACUGAAACCCAACUCAAACUGGCCUAAGUCAAAAACGAAUUUAUUCAUCUAUGUAACUGAAAAGAGUGGGCCACAAGGGGGAGGCUUCAGGCUAGCUGCAUCUAAGUUUUAAAUCAUGUGAACAGAUCUCCCUUUCCCCCUCCCCCAUCUCUUGACUUUGCUGUCAUCUGUGUUAGUUUCAUUCUGAAGCAGGCUUCCACCGUGAAAUAGAAGAGGUGGCAACUGGUGACAUCAUGAGACGAUGUGUAAUCUGAGCAACCCUAACCAAGAACUUAUUUUCCUUAGUAGUUCCAGCAAAAAUCCAGAGAGGACUAUCCUUGGCCAGGCUUUACCCCAUGUCCACUUCUGGAGCCAAGAAAGACAGUUCCUUCUCCAAGGGGAACCCAGGGUGUUGAUACUAGAAGAUGGAAAUGGAUACAGUAAGAUGCUGCCACAGUGAGAUGCCUCACCCAGGUCUCCCUCUGUCACUCCAGCCAAGCACAUGGGAUAGAAAGUAGCAGGCGGCCUCUGGCCCUUUAAUGGAAGAGGGCCAUCCAGUCCUCUCCAGUUAACAUCUAGACCGAACACAAAGCAUCCUUCUCUCAUCCAGAAGACAUAGGAACCCUACCUUCAGGGAUGAUUUUUUUUUAACAGUGAAAUCUUAAAAGUAACUGUUUCACUAAAGCCUCCAGUAUUUACUGAAGACUGUCAGAAUCAUCCUCCAUCACUAGAUCUUCUCCACCAGUCAUGUUCCCUGAGCAGUGGGGUGGCUUGAAGGUAUAAACCAGAGAGGCCCAAGGGAGGGAUAGUUAGCAGACUUCUGGUCUUUUUCUAGUUUGUGCUCAUCUGUUCCAAGGACCACAGGAUUCUUCUCAUCGCAGUGCUCCAGGCAG
RNAcentral lists this long non-coding RNA (1260 nucleotides) under Pan troglodytes (chimpanzee). RNAcentral describes it as "long non-coding RNA NONPTRT008121". Lineage: Eukaryota; Metazoa; Chordata; Mammalia; Primates; Hominidae. The record is from RNAcentral.